GCAACCGGAUCAUAAAAGCAUAAGUAGUGUUUCCUUGUUAGAAGAUACAAAGACAAAGACUCAUACGGACUUCAGCUACACCAUCAAAGUUUUGAGAAGCAUU
RNAcentral lists this small RNA (103 nucleotides) under Arabidopsis thaliana (thale cress). RNAcentral describes it as "ATSL268310". Lineage: Eukaryota; Viridiplantae; Streptophyta; Magnoliopsida; Brassicales; Brassicaceae. The record is from RNAcentral.